GCCCAGGUGGUGGAAUUGGCAGACACGCAGCGUUCAGGGCGCUGUGGGAGCAAUCUCGUGGGAGUUCAAAUCUCCCCCUGGGCA
RNAcentral lists this transfer RNA (84 nucleotides) under Candidatus Azambacteria bacterium RIFCSPHIGHO2_01_46_10. RNAcentral describes it as "tRNA-Leu". It matches the Rfam family "tRNA". From Rfam's summary of the family: Transfer RNA (tRNA) molecules are approximately 80 nucleotides in length. Their secondary structure includes four short double-helical elements and three loops (D, anti-codon, and T loops). Further hydrogen bonds mediate the characteristic L-shaped molecular structure. tRNAs have two regions of fundamental functional importance: the anti-codon, which is responsible for specific mRNA codon recognition, and the 3' end, to which the tRNAs corresponding amino acid is attached (by aminoacyl-tRNA synthetases). tRNAs cope with the degeneracy of the genetic code in two manners: having more than one tRNA (with a specific anti-codon) for a particular amino acid; and 'wobble' base-pairing, i.e. permitting non-standard base-pairing at the 3rd anti-codon position. RNAcentral also lists the same sequence under 4 other names. Lineage: Bacteria; Candidatus Azamiibacteriota. The record is from RNAcentral.